This 206-nucleotide small RNA is filed under the name Bacillus solimangrovi. RNAcentral describes it as "SR1 sRNA". It matches the Rfam family "SR1 sRNA". The record is from Rfam by way of RNAcentral. Lineage: Bacteria; Bacillati; Bacillota; Bacilli; Caryophanales; Bacillaceae.
UAAGCACUAAUUAAAGCGUUUUCAAAAAUGAUAAAAGGGGAUGAAACAAUGGGUAUCAUCGUUUGUCAAUCUUGUAAUAGCACAAUUGACCAUUAUGAGGACGAGAAGGUAACGACACUGUAUUCAAAGUGUGACGGCUGCUGUAACGAUGAAGACAUUGAUGAAUAAAAAAUAACACAUAUAUAAUUGAGAAAGCCUCUUUUUAC